AUUGAACGCUGGCGGCAUGCUUUACACAUGCAAGUCGAACGGUAACAGGCCGCAAGGUGCUGACGAGUGGCGAACGGGUGAGUAAUGCAUCGGAACGUGCCCAGUCGUGGGGGAUAACUACUCGAAAGAGUAGCUAAUACCGCAUACGAUCUAUGGAUGAAAGCGGGGGACCGUAAGGCCUCGCGCGAUUGGAGCGGCCGAUGUCAGAUUAGGUAGUUGGUGGGGUAAAGGCUCACCAAGCCAACGAUCUGUAGCUGGUCUGAGAGGACGACCAGCCACACUGGGACUGAGACACGGCCCAGACUCCUACGGGAGGAAGCAGUGGGGAAUUUUGGACAAUGGGCGCAAGCCUGAUCCAGCAAUGCCGCGUGCAGGAAGAAGGCCUUCGGGUUGUAAACUGCUUUUGUACGGAACGAAACGGCUCUGGUUAAUACCCGGAGCUAAUGACGGUACCGUAAGAAUAAGCACCGGCUAACUACGUG
This 482-nucleotide ribosomal RNA is filed under the name uncultured bacterium. RNAcentral describes it as "partial 16S ribosomal RNA". It matches the Rfam family "Bacterial small subunit ribosomal RNA", at positions 30 to 507 of the family's 1533-position model. The record is from RNAcentral.